AAGUCGAGGGGCAGCAUUUUAGUUUGCUUGCAAACUGAAGAUGGCGACCGGCGCACGGGUGAGUAACACGUAUCCAACCUGCCGAUAACUCGGGGAUAGCCUUUCGAAAGAAAGAUUAAUACCCGAUGGUAUAAUCAGACCGCAUGGUCUUGUUAUUAAAGAAUUUCGGUCAUCGAUGGGGAUGCGUUCCAUUAGGUUGUUGGCGGGGUAACGGCCCACCUAGCCGACGAUGGAUAGGGGUUCUGAGAGGAAGGUCCCCACAUUGGAACUGAGACACGGUCCAAACUCC
This 289-nucleotide ribosomal RNA is filed under the name uncultured Bacteroides sp. Its description in RNAcentral is "partial 16S ribosomal RNA". It matches the Rfam family "Bacterial small subunit ribosomal RNA", at positions 59 to 339 of the family's 1533-position model. The record is from RNAcentral. Lineage: Bacteria; Pseudomonadati; Bacteroidota; Bacteroidia; Bacteroidales; Bacteroidaceae.